GUUUUGUCUAGACGUAUGCUGGUCAGCAGCACAAACCAAAAACUUUCUCUCUCCCCCAAGGAUUUAUUGCCUGGCUGAACAGAAAAGGACAGACAUUGAAGUGGGCAUCGAGCAACGUUGGUUUUCGAUAAAGAGCAGGACAUUCUGGCAUUUGGAUCCAAUAUUGUAAACUACCAAGAUGUUGAAGAAAUCAAAAGUUACAGACCAAACAGCCACUGGACAGGUGGGCAUCAAGAAGCGAUCCAAAGUCCCGGGCGUCAUGGUCACACAGUGGACGGAGGAACUCCCUGAAGGGAAGUCAACACCAGACUUCAUUCGCAAACCCAUAGCUUUAACCAUUC
Molecule: long non-coding RNA, 341 nt
Organism: Clupea harengus (Atlantic herring)
Lineage: Eukaryota; Metazoa; Chordata; Actinopteri; Clupeiformes; Clupeidae
Exons: 3
Source: RefSeq, a predicted model, not a curated record